Molecule: ribosomal RNA, 460 nt
Filed under: uncultured bacterium
Lineage: Bacteria
Description: partial 16S ribosomal RNA
Rfam family: Bacterial small subunit ribosomal RNA
Source: RNAcentral
CCUACGGGAGGCUGCAGUGAGGAAUAUUGGUCAAUGGGCGCGAGCCUGAACCAGCAAAGUCGCGUGAGGGAUGAAGGUUCUAUGGAUCGUAAACCUCUUUUAUAGGGGAAUAAAGUGCGGUACGUGUCCUAUUUUGUAUGUACCUUAUGAAUAAGGAUCGGCUAACUCCGUGCCAGCAGCCGCGGUAAUACGGAGGAUCCGAGCGUUAUCCGGAUUUAUUGGGUUUAAAGGGUGCGUAGGCGGCCUGUUAAGUCAGCGGUGAAAGGCUGUGGCUCAACCAUAGAAUUGCCGUUGAAACUGGGGGGCUGGAGUAUGGUUGAGGCAGGCGGAAUGCGUGGUGUAGCGGUGAAAUGCUUAGAUAUCACGCAGAACCCCGAUUGCGAAGGCAGCCUGCCAGGCCAUGACUGACGCUGAUGCACGAAAGCGUGGGGAUCAAACAGGAUUAGAUACCCUAGUAGUC